ACAUGCGAUCACAACAAGUCUGUUUCUGCAUUGUAAUUAUCUAUCGUGUCGGUUUUAGUAAAAAAUAUGAAUCAAACUUCUUGUGUCUUUCUGUUUCAUUUUAAGUUACCGUACAUGCGCAAUAAAAAAACUCCAUCAUAACCAACAACACACCACAUCCUCUACGUUAACGUUAUUUUCUGAAACAAGUCUGAUAUGUGACAUGAACACUAUGUUACAAACACCUUAAUGUACCUUGACAGUUAGCAUUAAUGUUCCGUUAACAUUGCAUUGCUCGUAUUUAACGUGGUGGACCAUAUUUUCCAACCACACGCAGACGCCUGUUUACCGGCUCAUGUUGUGUUGUGUUGAUCCUGCUAGCCUUGUCAGCAGAGCCGGAGUCGUGCUCGAGGCUAACCCCAGGCUAGCUGGCUAAUAAGCGCUUUAGCGAGCUAAGCUAAUGAGCCAGGUGCUCUGUUGCUAUGAAUCCAGAAAGAGGGUCAGAGGCCACCAGGCGCAGGGUUGUCUACAAGAAGACCAGUGUAAUGGUCCAGAAGAAAUCUCCUGCAGUCACAGGGAUCCAGACUCACUUUUUUUACAAGGAGCGCUUUGUGAAUCUGGAAUAAUGCUGCAGAUUGGAACAGUAAUGAUUAAUGUGAUGGUCAUCUGUCCUGGAACAACAAGAUUUGAAUCAGGACUGUCCACACCCACCCAGACUCUUCAUGGUACCUCCCACAGGAACUAAGAGGGCAGUCUCUGACAAGGAAUUAGAGAAUUUUUGUUUAUUGCCACAGUUCUAAUCGGCUCUUUCUGUUUUUUACUAAAAUCUUGCUGAUUUCUCUGGGUCAUCCAACAGGUUUUCUUUUUCUAUUUUGACAGUAGCAGUAUUCAUGUUGACACUCCCCUUUCAAAUAAAUGUAUUUGAUUUUUAUCCUUUCUAAGUGUUUAUUGUUCAUUAUGCAUAAUAUUCAUCAUGAUGCAUAUUUUAAUGAAUUUGUCUGUAGCACACAGGACAAUGAUGUUCUAAUGUUAAAUGCAUUGAAGACUGAUAUUUUAGAUAAUAUUUAUACUGCUAAAUUGAUUCAUUGUAUUAUCUACUGUACCUGUCUACAGUAAACUAUGAAAGUUAAAGUAACACCCUGAACAACUUGUUAUUCCAAAUAGUCACAGAAAUAUGCUGCAUUUAAUU
Molecule: long non-coding RNA, 1168 nt
Filed under: Scophthalmus maximus (turbot)
Lineage: Eukaryota; Metazoa; Chordata; Actinopteri; Pleuronectiformes; Scophthalmidae
Description: lncRNA (ENSSMAG00000030131.1)
Source: RNAcentral